ACAUUUCAGUGAUGAAGUUGAACGUCUUUUGAUGAACAUCAAUCCAAGAGGUGUAGAAUUGGAUGAUAGAGUCAUGGUUGAGGGUGCUGAGAAGGUGAACCUCUGAGUAUAGCCUCUGCAAGUCCUCAGGUGAGCCAAGCACCACAUUGAGUUUUACCUGGUUCCACGCCACCUCCAUUCCGAGGACUUCAUCAAUUGCCUUAUAGACUGUUUUCAUUGCCCCUUUCCCAAGAACUUCUUCAAACCGACCAUACCGGCCAGUAGGAUCGGUUUCAACAUAGCCAUGGUCGGCGUCGGUUUCAUGCAACCCAACUUUCUUUUUGUACAUGUUUUUGAGGGGUAUAUAUGGGAAAGCCUGCAGCUUCUCCUAGGAGUUGGCCGAAAAGCUUUAUUUUGGAAAAAAAUCUUGCGAAUUUUCGAACUCUACUUUUUAUAUAUGCUGGCUGAUGGGUAUAAAUUGGAAAACAAAAAGAGAAAAUAUUUGUGUGUAUUAUAUAUGGGUUAAAAGAGAUGGAGAGCUCUAAAUCCGAGGCUUUCCUUCAUGAUUUUCAUAAGAGAAGACACCAAAGAGAAGCCAGAAGAGUCUUGAGUAAUCAAUCCUUAGCAUGAUCCAUGCCAUUUCCACAACCGCACGUGAGAAGUCGUAGUUUUUGGCAACCAUUUGGAGCGAAAACCAAAACCCAAAAGUUUUUUUUUUUUUUUUUAAAGAAAGAAAUAAACUUGGAAUUGACAAGUGAAUACGAUUUUGGUGGAGGAAAAGGCCAAUAUGUCUUUCUUAAAAGAGUGAAAUAUCUCUCUCUUUAAUAACUUAAGGAAUUUUCUUGAGGGUGGUAAGCAAAUUCUUUGGGGAAGCAAGGAUAAUAUAGGCAAAAUCAAUCAAGAAUUUAAAUUGUUACCAUGCAAGAUAGGGAUAUGCAUGAGAUGGAAAUAUCACUGAUGGAAUUCUGAACUUGAAGAAUCUGUGGCCACGCUUUGCCGGAACCAUUUGUUGAUGAUAGAGAUACAACCCCAAAACAAAGAGGAAUUAAGGAUGGGUUGGGAUCUUAAUUUGGUGGUGUAUCUUUACAGAAAUGAACGAGAAGAAAAAGUUUCAGAUAACAAAAACUUGCAAACCAAAUCUGCAAGAUGGUUUUGAUAUGUAUAUGUUGUUGGUAGGUAGCUAAGCUAUAAACGGCAAGGACGGGAACAGGGCAGACGCUAAAACAGAUGUAGAGGGGGGCAAGAUUUAAAUAUUAACUUAUCUCUG
RNAcentral lists this unclassified non-coding RNA (1246 nucleotides) under Hevea brasiliensis (rubber tree). The record is from RNAcentral. Lineage: Eukaryota; Viridiplantae; Streptophyta; Magnoliopsida; Malpighiales; Euphorbiaceae.